UCCUGGUUAACCCAGGCAGUCUCAUUAGAGUUCCCAUCCGAAAUGUUGGCAACUAAUGAUAAGGGUUGCGCUCGUUGCGGGACUUAACCCAACACCUCACGGCACGAGCUGACGACAGCCAUGCAGCACCUGUGCAGAGGCCCCGAAGGGAGACGCCAUCUCUGGCGCUGUCCUCUGCAUGUCAAGCCUGGGUAAGGUUCUUCGCGUUGCAUCGAAUUAAACCACAUGCUCCACUGCUUGUGCGGGUCCCCGUCAAUUCUUUUGAGUUUUACCCUUGCGAGCGUACUCCCCAGGCGGUAUACUUAUCGCGUUAGCUUCGGCACAACUAGGGUUGAGUCCAGUUACACCAAGUAUACAUAGUUUACGGCAAGGACUAC
This 377-nucleotide unclassified non-coding RNA is filed under the name uncultured Parachlamydiaceae bacterium. Its description in RNAcentral is "contains 16S-23S intergenic spacer region". Lineage: Bacteria; Pseudomonadati; Chlamydiota; Chlamydiia; Parachlamydiales; Parachlamydiaceae. The record is from RNAcentral.